Molecule: ribosomal RNA, 398 nt
Filed under: uncultured Porphyrobacter sp.
Lineage: Bacteria; Pseudomonadati; Pseudomonadota; Alphaproteobacteria; Sphingomonadales; Erythrobacteraceae
Description: bacterial SSU rRNA
Rfam family: Bacterial small subunit ribosomal RNA
Source: RNAcentral
CAUCCUAGGACGACUUCUGGAGACAGAUUUCUUCCCUUCGGGGACCGUAGUGACAGGUGCUGCAUGGCUGUCGUCAGCUCGUGUCGUGAGAUGUUGGGUUAAGUCCCGCAACGAGCGCAACCCUCGUCCUUAGUUGCCAUCAUUAAGUUGGGCACUUUAAGGAAACUGCCGGUGAUAAGCCGGAGGAAGGUGGGGAUGACGUCAAGUCCUCAUGGCCCUUACAGGCUGGGCUACACACGUGCUACAAUGGCAUCUACAGUGGGCAGCUAUUCCGCAAGGAUGCGCUAAUCUCCAAAAGAUGUCUCAGUUCGGAUUGUCCUCUGCAACUCGAGGGCAUGAAGGCGGAAUCGCUAGUAAUCGCGGAUCAGCAUGCCGCGGUGAAUACGUUCCCAGGCCUU